GCAUCGGUGGUUCAGUGGUAGAAUUCUCGCUUCCCACGUGAGUGACCCGGGUUCGAUUCCCGGUCGAUGCA
Molecule: non-coding RNA, 71 nt
Organism: Octopus bimaculoides (California two-spot octopus)
Lineage: Eukaryota; Metazoa; Mollusca; Cephalopoda; Octopoda; Octopodidae
Source: Rfam